AUAUAUGCAAGGCAAUAUUCAAGAACCAACACAUAAGGUUACCACAUAAUUCAUCCCUUUGAUCUCGAAUGUUCGAGGAUGACUUAGGGUUUAAUUGUCAACACUGGAUGAGUCAUCCACAUUGCAUUUCAACCUUUCACAUCCAUCAUAUAGAUUACACAGGCCUAGAUUUUACUAAAUUAAAAUAUAGUGAUGCAUUAACUCCUG
This 207-nucleotide long non-coding RNA is filed under the name Elaeis guineensis (African oil palm). RNAcentral describes it as "long non-coding RNA (EGUI_LNC000348)". Lineage: Eukaryota; Viridiplantae; Streptophyta; Magnoliopsida; Arecales; Arecaceae. The record is from RNAcentral.